CAGUCGCCGCGGGAAUACGGAGGGCGCGAGCGUUACCCGGAUUUACUGGGCAUAAAGGGCGUGUAGGCGGCCUGGGGCGUCCCAUGUGAAAGGCCACGGCUCAACCGUGGAGGAGCGUGGGAUACGCUCAGGCUAGAGGGUGGGAGAGGGUGGUGGAAUUCCCGGAGUAGCGGUGAAAUGCGCAGAUACCGGGAGGAACGCCGAUGGCGAAGACAGCCACCUGGUCCACUUCUGACGCUGAGGCGCGAAAGCGUGGGGAGCAAACCGGAUUAGAGACCCCAGUAGUCCCUGUCUCUUAUAC
Molecule: ribosomal RNA, 301 nt
Filed under: uncultured bacterium
Lineage: Bacteria
Description: partial 16S ribosomal RNA
Rfam family: Bacterial small subunit ribosomal RNA
Source: RNAcentral